This 73-nucleotide transfer RNA is filed under the name Pteropus alecto (black flying fox). It matches the Rfam family "tRNA". Rfam says of the family: Transfer RNA (tRNA) molecules are approximately 80 nucleotides in length. The record is from Rfam by way of RNAcentral. Lineage: Eukaryota; Metazoa; Chordata; Mammalia; Chiroptera; Pteropodidae.
GGUCCCAUAGUGUAGUGGUUAGCACAUCUGCUUUACACACAGAAGGUCCUGGGUUUGCACCCCAGUGGAGCCA